CCUUCGGGGCUCUCUGGUGAUUCAUAAUAACUUCUCGAAUCGCACGGCCUUGCGCCGGCGAUGGUUCAUUCAAAUUUCUGCCCUAUCAACUUUCGACGGCUGGGUCUUGGCCAGCCGUGGUGACAACGGGUAACGGAGGGUUAGGGCUCGACCCCGGAGAAGGAGCCUGAGAAACGGCUACUACAUCCAAGGAAGGCAGCAGGCGCGCAAAUUACCCAAUCCCGACACGGGGAGGUAGUGACAAUAAAUACUGAUACAGGGCUCUUUCGGGUCUUGUAAUUGGAAUGAGUACAAUUUAAAUCCCUUAACGAGGAACAAUUGGAGGGCAAGUCUGGUGCCAGCAGCCGCGGUAAUUCCAGCUCCAAUAGCGUAUAUUAAAGUUGUUGAGGUUAAAAAGCUCGUAGUUGAACCUUGGGCCCAGCCGGCCGGUCCGCCUCACCGCGUGCACUGGCUCGGCUGGGUCUUUCCUUCUGGAGAACCGCAUGCCCUUCACUGGGUGUGCCGGGGAACCAGGACUUUUACUCUGAACAAAUUAGAUCGCUUAAAGAAGGCCUAUGCUCGAAUACAUUAGCAUGGAAUAAUAGAAUAGGACGUGUGGUUCUAUUUUGUUGGUUUCUAGGACCGCCGUAAUGAUUAAUAGGGACAGUCGGGGGCAUCAGUAUUCAAUUGUCAGAGGUGAAAUUCUUGGAUUUAUUGAAGACUAACUACUGCGAAAGCAUUUGCCAAGGAU
This 730-nucleotide ribosomal RNA is filed under the name Chaetomium sp. MP13-3-1. RNAcentral's name for it is "SSU rRNA". It matches the Rfam family "Eukaryotic small subunit ribosomal RNA", at positions 230 to 965 of the family's 1831-position model. The record is from RNAcentral. Lineage: Eukaryota; Fungi; Ascomycota; Sordariomycetes; Sordariales; Chaetomiaceae.